This 239-nucleotide ribosomal RNA is filed under the name uncultured bacterium. RNAcentral describes it as "partial 16S ribosomal RNA". It matches the Rfam family "Bacterial small subunit ribosomal RNA", at positions 96 to 334 of the family's 1533-position model. The record is from RNAcentral.
CGGCGGACGGGUGAGUAACGCGUGGGUAACCGUGCCUCAUACAGGGGGAUAACAGUUGGAAACGGCUGCUAAUACCGCAUAAGCGCACAGUACCGCAUGGUACGGUGUGAAAAACUCCGGUGGUAUGAGAUGGACCCGCGUCUGAUUAGGUAGUUGGUGGGGUAACGGCCUACCAAGCCGACGAUCAGUAGCCGACCUGAGAGGGUGACCGGCCACAUUGGGACUGAGACACGGCCCAG